CCAGACUCCUACGGGAGGCAGCAGUGGGGAAUAUUGCACAAUGGGGGAAACCCUGAUGCAGCGACGCCGCGUGAGCGAUGAAGUAUUUCGGUAUGUAAAGCUCUAUCAGCAGGGAAGAAGAUGACGGUACCUGACUAAGAAGCCCCGGCUAACUACGUGCCAGCAGCCGCGGUAAUACGUAGGGGGCAAGCGUUAUCCGGAUUUACUGGGUGUAAAGGGAGCGUAGACGGCGGCGCAAGCCAGAUGUGAAAGCCCGGGGCUCAACUCCGGGACUGCAUUUGGAACUGUGCGGCUAGAGUACUGGAGGGGCAGGCGGAAUUCCUAGUGUAGCGGUGAAAUGCGUAGAUAUUAGGAGGAACACCAGUGGCGAAGGCGGCCUGCUGGACAGUAACUGACGUUGAGGCUCGAAAGCGUGGGGAGCAAACAGGAUUAGAUACCCCGGUAAUA
RNAcentral lists this ribosomal RNA (447 nucleotides) under uncultured bacterium. RNAcentral describes it as "bacterial SSU rRNA". It matches the Rfam family "Bacterial small subunit ribosomal RNA", at positions 331 to 795 of the family's 1533-position model. The record is from RNAcentral.